UAGCUGUUGUUUAUUCAUCAGCAACC
Molecule: non-coding RNA, 26 nt
Filed under: Mus musculus (house mouse)
Lineage: Eukaryota; Metazoa; Chordata; Mammalia; Rodentia; Muridae
Source: RNAcentral